AGCUUGCAUCUGCCUGUCUGCUUUCAGAUCAAGUCAUCUUUGCCAGCCAAAGCAGAUUCUUCCUGCCUGCUUCCAAGAGGCACGAGCCUAAACAACUGGUCUCAGAAUGGGGUGUCUCUACAGUCUUAGCCGUGAAGAGAGGAGAUGAAAUGUUCUCCUGUUCAGUGUGUACGGAAGAGGCUGGAGCAGAGCUGCUAUCUCUAUAACAGUAAAACUACAGUGAAAUCUGAAUUCUUUGUUCAUGUUUCAUUGCCUGCUUUGAGGAAAAACGGUGAUCAUGAGAUCAGACAUCAGCCUCAGGGAGAAAGUUCCCAUUGCCCUCUGCUAGUCCUGUCUGAAAGGGAGAGGAGCUACUGGGAUGGAAGAAUAAAAUGAUGUACAGAAG
This is a long non-coding RNA of Egretta garzetta (little egret), 385 nucleotides long. RefSeq lists it as uncharacterized. NCBI's taxonomy places the organism in Eukaryota, Metazoa, Chordata, Aves, Pelecaniformes, Ardeidae. The transcript is spliced from 3 exons. The record is from RefSeq and is a predicted model, not a curated record.